UGGAAAAGCACGAGUGCAGUGAGUGCCCAGU
Molecule: non-coding RNA, 31 nt
Filed under: Homo sapiens (human)
Lineage: Eukaryota; Metazoa; Chordata; Mammalia; Primates; Hominidae
Source: RNAcentral